CCUGGGAAGUACGGCCGCAAGGCUGAAACUCAAAGGAAUUGACGGGGGCCCGCACAAACGGUGGAGUAUGUGGUUCAAUUCGACGCAACGCGCAGAACCUUACCUGGGCUUGACAUCUGGGGAAGUCCCUAGAGAUAGGGAGGUGCCCCUUCGGGGAACCCCAUGACAGGUGCUGCAUGGCAGUCGUCAGCUCGUGUCGUGAGAUGAUGGGUUAAGUCCCGCAACGAGCGCAACCCCUGUUCUUAGUUGACAUCGGUUCGGCCGGGCACUCUAAGGAGACUGCCGGUGCUAACCGGAGGAAGGUGGGGAUGACAUCAAGUCAUCACGGCCUGUAUGCACAGGGCUACACACGAACUACAAUUUACUGACCGAAAGAUAGGCUACCCGCGAGGUGGAGCUAAUCAACUACACGCCGGUCUCAGUUCGGAUUGGUCUCUGCAACUCGAGACCAUGAAGGUGGAAUCGCUAGUAAUCGCUGAUCAGCAUGCAGCGGUGAAUACGUUCCCGGGCCUUGUACACACCGCCCGUCACACCACGAAAGCUGUUUAUACCAGAAGUGCGUGACCCAACCUUCGGGAGGG
Molecule: ribosomal RNA, 581 nt
Filed under: uncultured organism
Description: bacterial SSU rRNA
Rfam family: Bacterial small subunit ribosomal RNA
Source: RNAcentral